This 253-nucleotide ribosomal RNA is filed under the name uncultured bacterium. Its description in RNAcentral is "partial 16S ribosomal RNA". It matches the Rfam family "Bacterial small subunit ribosomal RNA", at positions 524 to 776 of the family's 1533-position model. The record is from RNAcentral.
UACAGAGGGGGCAAGCGUUGUUCGGAAUUACUGGGCGUAAAGGGCGCGUAGGCGGUUUCGUAAGUCCCGUGUGAAAGCCCCCGGCUCAACUGGGGAAUUGCACGGGAAACUGCGAGGCUUGAGUUCGGGAGAGGGAAGCGGAAUUCCGGGUGUAGCGGUGAAAUGCGCAGAUAUCAGGAAGAACACCAAUGGCGAACGCAGCUCUCUGGGACGGUACUGACGCUGAGACGCGAAAGCGUGGGGAGCGAACAGG